GGCAGCACGGGAGCAAUCCUGGUGGCGAGUGGCGAACGGGUGAGUAAUACAUCGUGAACGUGCCCUGUAGUGGGGGAUAACUAGUCGAAAGACUAGCUAAUACCGCAUACGACCUGAGGGUGAAAGUGGGGGACCGCAAGGCCUCAUGCUAUAGGAGCGGCCGAUGUCUGAUUAGCUAGUUGGUGGGGUAAAGGCCUACCAAGGCGACGAUCAGUAGCUGGUCUGAGAGGACGAUCAGCCACACUGGGACUGAGACACGGCCCAGACUCCUACGGGAGGCAGCAGUGGGGAAUUUUGGACAAUGGGGGCAACCCUGAUCCAGCAAUGCCGCGUGUGUGAAGAAGGCCUUCGGGUUGUAAAGCACUUUUGUCCGGGAAGAAAUCGCACCUGAUAAUACCGGGUGUGGAUGACGGUACCGGAAGAAUAAGGACCGGCUAACUACGUGCCAGCAGCCGCGGUAAUACGUACGGUCCAAGCGUUAAUCGGAAUUACUGGGCGUAAAGCGUGCGCACGCGGUUGUGCAAGACCGAUGUGAAAUCCCCGGGCUUACCUGGGAAUUGCAUUGGUGACUGCACGGCUAGAUGUGUCAGAGGGGGGUAGAAUUCCACGUGUAGAAUGAAGUGCGUAGAGAUGUGGAGGAAUACCGAUAGCGAACGCAGCCACCUGGGAUAACACUGACGCUCAUGCACGAGAUCGCGCGGAGCAUACAUGAUUAGAUACCCUGGUAGUCCACGCCCUAAACGAUUUCGACUACCUGUUGGGGAUUCAUUUCCUUAGUAACGUAGCUCACGCGUGAAGUUGACCGCCUGGGGAGUACGGUCGCAAGAUUAAUACUCAACUGAAUUGACUGGC
Molecule: ribosomal RNA, 852 nt
Filed under: uncultured beta proteobacterium
Lineage: Bacteria; Pseudomonadati; Pseudomonadota; Betaproteobacteria
Description: bacterial SSU rRNA
Rfam family: Bacterial small subunit ribosomal RNA
Source: RNAcentral